AGGCAGGCGCUCAGUCUGUGGAGAGUCGCUCUCGGACGGAAGUGAUGAGAGUGAAAGAAAGAAAAAAAAAGAGAAAAGAAGAAGAAGAAGAAGAAGAAGAGUCCACUGUGUGACACACUUGAAGAAGCCCGCAUCGGUCCACCUUUCGGGAAGAGGGGGGACAGCGAGUCCUGCUCCUUUUACAGGCGGGAGCUGAUGGAGGAGGAGGAAGAAACAGAACCGUGUUUCCUGAUGUGGACUCUCUGUGUCUCCAUGAGGAGAGCCUCCAUCAGCCAGUGUGUUAUCAUGCUAGCCCGACGUCGCUCGGCCUCCCACGGCAGAGUAAUGGAUGCAGGUCCAGCCCGUUCAAUGACAUCAGCACCCUAAGCCGAUGAAACGGGGCCGAUGGAUGACCAUAGAUCAGCGUUUAGCAUCCUGACGUCAGCCCCCGUCCGGGCAGCAGCGCAGCGACACUGUUGGCAGUUGUUCCCCGCUGCUGACAAUGGGAGCUCUCAGCCUGUGGCCGGCCGAUGGCUUGGGCACAAAAAGCUUGGCUGCACAGCAGGACAUCGCAGCAUUGUUCUCUGGACUAGA
Molecule: long non-coding RNA, 573 nt
Organism: Acanthopagrus latus (yellowfin seabream)
Lineage: Eukaryota; Metazoa; Chordata; Actinopteri; Spariformes; Sparidae
Exons: 3
Source: RefSeq, a predicted model, not a curated record